GCACCUGUAAAGGAUUGGGAUUACAUUUUAGAUUAGUUUAUUUUAGUAUAUUGCUUUAGAAUUUAUAAAGCGAGCUAGGCUCUUGUUUGACUUAAAUAAGUAUAUUGCAAACAUAUAAAACAUUAAUCAUGUCCGCUCGUCUGCUAAAAGCGGUUCAUUUUCAUAGAAACUGCAAAUUCAAACUUGACACAGAAAGUGUCAUGAGUUUAUCGUUUAUCGUUUUGGAAGUCACUUCUCUAAGAUGAGGGAGUAUGGAGUUGGUUGCCGCUCAUCUUUUAACAGUCCAAACUAUCGGACAAUAUAUUUUAAAAAUUCUUAUUGGAACUUCAAUAUCACGUGAUUCAAGGCAGGCGAUCAGCUAGUCAGGCAUGCAGGAUUAGCACAAAGUUAUGGAACAGCUGAGGCGCGGGCUAACCUUCGAGUAGGGGCACAUUCCUCAACCGUUCGCCGCACAAUUUGUGAUAACGUUGCAGAAAAUCAUUCACAGUAAUGGGUAUUGCACACUCAGCGACAGCUAUUUCGGCUGAUCGUCGUUCCGUAGUGCCCAUUACUCUGAACCGCACAGCCUCUGGAUAUGGUCGACCAUAUGCGCCCGCUAUUUGUCGGGUAAUCUCCUCGUAUAUGCGCUCAGUGUCUGAAAUAGGGCGAAUGUGAAAUUACAAAUUAGUACCUGGCAUUAAUUGUGAAUCGACCAUGAGGGCGCGUGCAUUGUCCGAUUGUUGUUUGGCGUACUCUUCCCAAGAUAACGGCAGAUCGUACUCUUUAAUCAUAAACUCGGCCAUCUGACGCGUCUGCAAACCCAUUAUCUGUUGCUUCACAUCGAACGUGUAUGUCUUUCCAUAAGGGUCGAGCACCAUUUGGGCGGCCUUCGUGUAGAGAACCUCGGUGUCUGGUUAGAAGCAUGUGUAAACUAUAAAAUAUCGAUAGCUCUUUGAUACUUACCCAACAACAGGCCAUCCAUAUCGAAGAUGCAGUGCGUCACAUUUCGCAAUAUCUUUUGAGCCAUCUUUCCACUUUCCUAUUGCUCGUUAUGUAACGUAGUAAUUGUGCUUGAUUUGCAACUGGCAGUUAACAGACACCUGUAAACAAAAGAUACAACAUUUACAACAAAGUUUCCGUUACCGGUAGCUUUCUCUGAAAAGUUUAUUGUUUGCCCUUUUAAUGUUUUAUUGCGUUAAUUACGUUCGUCCUUCAGUCAAGGACAGCCAUAGUACAUAGGAAAUGUAACAAACAAAUCGAUCUACCUUGACCGACACGCAACUCUCUAUCUAUUUAUCUCUGUAGCGUCCGAAGUAAACACAACCGCUCAGCCAAACGAGACGCGAAAAUCUGACUGCACUUGCGAAAUUUGCGUUCAAUAUGCUGAAGAGUAGCGACGAGGUUGCCAGACUUUUUGGCUUAUGACAAAUUAAAAAUUUUCCGUGUUGCAUACCCUGUAGUGUCUCAAUAAUAUUAGAUAGAGUAUAUGUGUUCGUAACAAAUAUGCAUUUGAUAUAUUUAAAUACAAGUAAUAUAAUUUUGGUUAAAUAAAUAGAUUCGUAAAAUACAA
This is a long non-coding RNA of Drosophila mojavensis, 1549 nucleotides long. RefSeq lists it as uncharacterized. NCBI's taxonomy places the organism in Eukaryota, Metazoa, Arthropoda, Insecta, Diptera, Drosophilidae. The transcript has 2 exons. The record is from RefSeq and is a predicted model, not a curated record.